This 213-nucleotide ribosomal RNA is filed under the name uncultured eukaryote. Its description in RNAcentral is "partial 18S ribosomal RNA". It matches the Rfam family "Eukaryotic small subunit ribosomal RNA", at positions 1299 to 1458 of the family's 1831-position model. The record is from RNAcentral.
UGGUGGAGUGAUUUGUCUACUUAAUUGUGAUAACGAACGAGACCUCGGCCUGCUAAAUAGUAAUGCAAAUCUUCUACUUGGGUGAAGCUGUGAAGCAGGGGCUCGUUAGGGCAACCUAGCGGGACCCCUUCGCAGUGGAUCCUUGAAGCAUUUGUAGGCAACUUCUUAGAGGAACAACUGGUAUCAAGCUAGGGGAAGAUCGAGGCAAUAACA